UAUUACUUUAUAGCACCGACUAGAAAUGUGAGGAGUAAAAAAUGAAACCAUUAAAUUAGAAAUAAAAUGAUUCAUAAACUUUUUUGUAAAAUUAAAAUGUACACUUUAAAUUACCGUUAUGCUAGUAUUAAUCUGCUUUAUUUCAAAUGUGUUGGUCACAUUUUGGCGUUGUUAUAAAUUAGUGGGUAACUUAGUAUUUGAGGAGUUCAUGUAAGCAAUGCCAUUACUGACGGACGCUCUGUGUAUUAACGUACUUUCUCGUAGAGCGAAAGGAUUGGCGAGAAUAUUCAGUCCUGCAGUGACUAUUCGAAGUGAAUUGAUUUAAAACAGCCUAGUUUCAACUAUGAUUUCGUAACGAAGUCCUCUUGACUGAACCUGUGAUCUAGGUUGGUUUUGCAUCCAAGCAAGCAUAGCCAAACUUCAAAAGCAGCGUUCUUUAUUUAUGUGCAAUUGAAGAUUGAUAUUUAUUUUUAUUGUGUGGGUACCUUGUCUUUGAAGGCCAAACUAUGAAAAUGGUGUUAUCUCAGCGACAACGGGAAGAAUU
Molecule: long non-coding RNA, 544 nt
Organism: Limulus polyphemus (Atlantic horseshoe crab)
Lineage: Eukaryota; Metazoa; Arthropoda; Merostomata; Xiphosura; Limulidae
Exons: 2
Source: RefSeq, a predicted model, not a curated record